CGUAAGAUGAGACUUGCUCCUCCUUGCCUUCCACCAUGAUUGUGAGGCCUCCCCAGCCAUGUGGAACUGAGCAGAUGAUGCUCAAAAGAACAAAUCAGGAAAGAGGAAAGAAUAAAAGGCCAUUUGUGGUACAUCUGAAUCAGCCUGGUGAAUAAGAUUUGGGUUCCUCAAGACAGAGAAGGAGACUGUCCCAACGCGUCCCGCAGCCCACCCUGCCUCGAAACUCCCUGCGGUGAUGUCGGGGCUAGAGGAAUCCAGGGCUUGGUCCCUGCAGCUGAGGCCUACGGGAUAUCCCAGGAAAGAGCAGCCUCUCCGUAGUGGUGAAGAGUCUCUCAAGCCUUAGCGCUCUGGUGACCUCCGCGGGAUUCUGAGAAAAGCACUGCGGAACGGCGGGAGCGGGCCCUGCUGCUUGCUUCGCGCCCCCCACCCGCCCGGGGACCGCGACUAAGUCCCCGACGCAGCUCUUCCCUUUUCCUGAAUACCCUGGGACUCUGCUCCCGAGUUCCAGCUCCGAGGACUCAAAGACAGUCUCCGUUCCUCACUCUUCAAAGACCACCUCCUUUUCUAGAGGUGGGCUCCCCGACCUUGCGCUUCUAGAGCUGCAGGAGCGGCGCUGCACAGGUCUGACAAGCCCAGCUCAUUGGCGGGUAUCUGAGCCAUCAGUCUGAAAGACAUUUGGGGAAAAUUCAUAGAACAUAGAAAUUCAUAUUAUACAUAUUCAUAUUAUACAUUCAUAUUAUACAUUGUGUAUAUUAUAUAAUAUAUAUAUAGUCCAUAAAUUA
Molecule: long non-coding RNA, 782 nt
Filed under: Homo sapiens (human)
Lineage: Eukaryota; Metazoa; Chordata; Mammalia; Primates; Hominidae
Description: HSALNT0296492
Source: RNAcentral